AGGUGGUCGGACAGUCGCGCUUUGGAAAGUAAAAUCCGAAAGUGAGGAAAGUCCGGGCUUCAUGGAAACAGGGUACCGGAUAACGUCCGGCCGGAGAAAUCCGAGGGAGAGCGCCACAGAAAGUUACCGCCAAGGCGUGCUUUGGUAAGGUUGAAAAGGCGAGGUAAGAGCUCACCGCCGCUUCAGCAAUGCAGCGGGCAAGGCAAGCCCUAUCCGAUGUAAGACCAAACAAGGUGUAUCAGGUUUUCCUGACGGAGCGUUUCCACUCUGUCCAAGGGUAGGUCGCAAGAGCAAAUCGGCAACGAUUUGGUGAGAUGAAUGGCUGUCAGCAUUAUCUUUGCCUUUCGGUAAAGCAAUGAUGUAUACAAAACCCGGCUUACAGGCCACCUA
Molecule: RNase P RNA, 390 nt
Filed under: bovine gut metagenome
Description: Bacterial RNase P class A
Rfam family: Bacterial RNase P class A
About the family: Ribonuclease P (RNase P) is a ubiquitous endoribonuclease, found in archaea, bacteria and eukarya as well as chloroplasts and mitochondria. Its best characterised activity is the generation of mature 5'-ends of tRNAs by cleaving the 5'-leader elements of precursor-tRNAs. Cellular RNase Ps are ribonucleoproteins.
Source: RNAcentral